UAGAAAAACAAAUAAUGAAUUGUUUUUUAUACCACUCCAGGUGGCGUUCUACAUAAUAUACCGUAAGCAUUACUCAAUGGACCACGAAGAAGACUUUGCAAUUAAUAACAAAUCUCAUGACAGACAAGAGCGUAUAUUUAAAUUGGACCUCGUUGGAAGUGGGCUGGACUCCAGUCUAAUGGGCGUUCCUGAUGCUCGUGAUGUAGACAAAGAAGCCACAACUAUCAGAAAAGAAUGUCCGGACUGAAAGGGCAACAGAAUUUCCAAUUAUUCAUUGAUAGUAAUAUUGUAUUAUUACUGCUAAUGUUUAUCUUAUUAAUAAAGUAACCCGUUUGUUGUGAAGAAUAUAGACAUGUAAGAUAAUAUGAUAUAACAUUUUGAGGAUUAAAACCAGGCCUAUUGAUUUUUGCUGGAUAAUGUACAUGAUAUAAACCUACAAUAUAUAAAUAUAAAAUGUAUACAUAUAUCCCAACUUGAUUUCAAUGCUUGAAAAUAAAUAUCAAAUGGAAUUGUG
Molecule: long non-coding RNA, 514 nt
Organism: Anneissia japonica
Lineage: Eukaryota; Metazoa; Echinodermata; Crinoidea; Comatulida; Comatulidae
Exons: 3
Source: RefSeq, a predicted model, not a curated record